Molecule: ribosomal RNA, 426 nt
Filed under: uncultured bacterium
Lineage: Bacteria
Description: bacterial SSU rRNA
Rfam family: Bacterial small subunit ribosomal RNA
Source: RNAcentral
UGGGGAAUUGUUCGCAAUGGGCGCAAGCCUGACGACGCAACGCCGCGUGGAGGAUGAAGAUCUUCGGGUCGUAAACUCCUUUCGAUCGAGACGAAUGGUUCCUGGGUUAACAGCCCGGGAAAUUGACGGUACCGAGAGAAGAAGCCCCGGCUAACUCCGUGCCAGCAGCCGCGGUAAUACGGGGGAGGCAAGCGUUGUUCGGAAUUACUGGGCGUAAAGGGCUCGUAGGUGGCCAACUAAGUCAUACGUGAAAUCCCUCGGCUUAACCGGGGAACUGCGCCUGAUACUGGUUGGCUUGAGUUUGGGAGAGGGACGCGGAAUUCCAGGUGUAGCGGUGAAAUGCGUAGAUAUCUGGAGGAACACCGGUGGCGAAGGCGGCGUCCUGGACCAAUACUGACACUGAGGAGCGAAAGCCAGGGGAGCAAA